RNAcentral lists this ribosomal RNA (640 nucleotides) under uncultured bacterium. RNAcentral describes it as "bacterial SSU rRNA". The stretch from base 1 to 537 matches the Rfam family "Bacterial small subunit ribosomal RNA", at positions 338 to 873 of the family's 1533-position model. The record is from RNAcentral.
CCUACGGGAGGCAGCAGUAAGGAAUAUUGGUCAAUGGAGGAAACUCUGAACCAGCCAUGCCGCGUGCAGGAUGACUGCCCUAUGGGUUGUAAACUGCUUUUAUACGGGAAGAAACCCCGCUACGUGUAGCGGGUUGACGGUACUGUAAGAAUAAGGACCGGCUAACUUCGUGCCAGCAGCCGCGGUAAUACGAAGGGUCCAAGCGUUAUCCGGAUUUAUUGGGUUUAAAGGGUGCGUAGGCGGCUUUUUAAGUCAGUGGUGAAAGCCUGAUGCUCAACAUCAGAACUGCCAUUGAUACUGAAGAGCUUGAGUACAGUUGAGGUUGGCGGAAUGUGUCAUGUAGCGGUGAAAUGCUUAGAUAUGACACAGAACACCGAUUGCGAAGGCAGCUAGCUAAGCUGUAACUGACGCUGAUGCACGAAAGCGUGGGGAGCAAACAGGAUUAGAUACCCUGGUAGUCCACGCCCUAAACGUUGAUAACUCGCUGUUGGCGAUAUACUGCNCGCGGCCGACGACGAAGACGAUUAAGUUAGUUCCGUAACCGUCGGUAAGGUUACGGUUCGUCGAAGAGUUAGUUAACGUUAAAGUUAGUAGUUAGACGGCGUUGAGACGCGACGACGGACGACGACGGAGGAGGAGG